AUGCCCAAAUAGGUGUCCUUGCCCUGUGACUUUUUCUUGUUCCACUUUUCAGAAACAUCAAGGAAAUGCCCCGAGGCCUGAUCCUAGAGAAAAACCAUCUCAGAGUAUAUCCCUUUAUUGCUUUCCUAUGAUCGGGUCAUGUGGUUCGUUCUAGCCAAUUGAAUGGGAAAAGAAGUAAUGCACCACAUCUGGUCCAAAUUAGUGAAGCGCAAGUAUACUUUCUCCAUCUGUCAACAGAAGAUACUAGUGUGACCUUGAAGUCCCAAUGUGAAGAUGGUGAAGUUCUAGCAUGAAGGAAGUUUGAAUCCCUAAGUAACUACUUGGAGGACAGUAAACCUAUUGACCUGCAUUGGACAGUCAUGUCAGCAAGAUAUAAAUUUUUAUUGUGUAAAGCCA
This is a long non-coding RNA of Panthera uncia (snow leopard), 396 nucleotides long. RefSeq lists it as uncharacterized. The transcript has 2 exons. NCBI's taxonomy places the organism in Eukaryota, Metazoa, Chordata, Mammalia, Carnivora, Felidae. The record is from RefSeq and is a predicted model, not a curated record.